UAUCAUGUACUCAACAUAUCACUGAAAUCAUUAAUAUGAAUUUCACUGAAACCAUUAAUAAUAGUCACUCUAAAAAACUAACCAAUCAAAUAUCUUGGGCUCAAAUUUAGAAAGGUAGCAGUUCGUAAAAACAUUUGAGCAUAAUUGCCAAUUUAAUAUGUAUAGAAAAACUCUUAUAGAAUUUCAAGAAUAUGGAAUUAUCACAAUUUAUGAGAUGUCAAUUCACAAAUAAAUAUUUCACAGACAAUGCUAUAAUCAAUUACAAGAAUAUCAGUUUUCAGAUAAUAAGGCAGUCAUUUACACAUGAAAUUUACAAUGUCUAAAUAUUCAAAAAUACUAGAAAGAAAUCUCACAAAUUUACUAAAAGCAGAAAUAUCCCAUUUAUUUCUAAUAAUUUAACAGUAUCUAAAAUUUUCUAACAAUAGACAAGAAAAAUAAAUAAAUUUAUUUUUAAGAAUUUACAGCCUUUGGAAUUUCUAACAUAGAUAAAUAUCACAAUUUUAUUAAAAAGAUUAUUUUUCAAAAUAAUGAGGUAGCUUGCGCAUAAAAUUUAUCGCACCUAAAAUUCAUGAUAAUAAGCAGAAAUAAUUAUUUCAUUUCAUUUUUUAAAAAGAACGGAUUAUUUUUCAAUAUAAUGAAGUCACUUACCUAAAAUAUUUGAAAGGGAGCUUCCGAUAAAAAUUCGGCUAAAGAGAGAUCUCAAAAUUUUCUAGGGUAGGAGUCCUCGCCUCUCAUAUUUAAACUCUUAUGACGCCUUAUUAUAAUAUUUUAUUAAGUUACACCUCAUACACGAGGUGUAACCAUUAUAUUACCUCUGGUACGCUUAAAGCCCACAUCCACUGGACGUGGCAAGGCAGCAACAAACAAAACAAAUUCAAACCAAAAGCUUUUAAAACUAGUGAUGGUCCCUAAAGACCAUUAUGCUCAUAUGAAUCAUCACUUAUUAAAAGUUUGCCUUUUUUUUUUUUUUUGGAAUUUUAGAAUUAUUACAGAGGUAGCCCUGAAAUUAGCUUCAGUUGGAAGCUUUUCAACCAAUAGGGGUUUGGAAUUGAUCGGGAAAGUAUUACGGUAAUAAGAAUACCAUAAAGAAUUCCCCACACAUUACUGUAAUUAAAUUACCGUAAUAAUAAUUCAAACUAUUAUCGUAUUUAAAUUACCGUAAUACCCUUUGAAUUUUUUACGGUGUUUUAAUUACCGUAAAGCAUAAAAUGUAUUACGGUAAAAAGACUACUGUGAAGGUUUUUGGCCCAAAAAAGCCGAAAUUUGUGAGAAAUGGUGCAGGCGAGGUUUUUAAAAGUUAGGGUUUUUUUUUCAAUUUUACUAAAAUAAAGGUACAAUAGCGAUAAUUUCUUUUUAAUUUAAUAGAUAACUUAACUAUUAUGCAAUAGCAAAUUUAAAAUUUUUAUAAAAGUAAAAUGUCAUUUUGGAAGUUAGUGUCCUCGAACUUUAUUUGUAGAGUGACAUUGUCUUUUAGUAAAAAAUCCAACUUUACCCUUAUGGAGAUGACAAAAAUACAUUUUGUCUUGUAGUGAUAUUGACAAAUU
Molecule: long non-coding RNA, 1544 nt
Filed under: Amborella trichopoda
Lineage: Eukaryota; Viridiplantae; Streptophyta; Magnoliopsida; Amborellales; Amborellaceae
Description: long non-coding RNA (ATRI_LNC003170)
Source: RNAcentral